Molecule: transfer RNA, 73 nt
Filed under: Cordylochernes scorpioides
Lineage: Eukaryota; Metazoa; Arthropoda; Arachnida; Pseudoscorpiones; Chernetidae
Description: tRNA-Thr
Rfam family: tRNA
About the family: Transfer RNA (tRNA) molecules are approximately 80 nucleotides in length. Their secondary structure includes four short double-helical elements and three loops (D, anti-codon, and T loops). Further hydrogen bonds mediate the characteristic L-shaped molecular structure. tRNAs have two regions of fundamental functional importance: the anti-codon, which is responsible for specific mRNA codon recognition, and the 3' end, to which the tRNAs corresponding amino acid is attached (by aminoacyl-tRNA synthetases). tRNAs cope with the degeneracy of the genetic code in two manners: having more than one tRNA (with a specific anti-codon) for a particular amino acid; and 'wobble' base-pairing, i.e. permitting non-standard base-pairing at the 3rd anti-codon position.
Source: RNAcentral
UCCAGGGUAGCCUAGUGGACAUGGCAUCUGCCCGGUAAGCGGAACACUGUGGGUUCGUUUCCCAUCCCUGGAU